This 271-nucleotide ribosomal RNA is filed under the name uncultured bacterium. RNAcentral describes it as "partial 16S ribosomal RNA". It matches the Rfam family "Bacterial small subunit ribosomal RNA", at positions 524 to 794 of the family's 1533-position model. The record is from RNAcentral.
UACGUAGGGUGCAAGCGUUAAUCGGAAUUACUGGGCGUAAAGCGUGCGCAGGCGGUUUUGUAAGACAGGCGUGAAAUCCCCGGGCUCAACCUGGGAAUUGCGCUUGUGACUGCAAAGCUGGAGUGCGGCAGAGGGGGAUGGAAUUCCGCGUGUAGCAGUGAAAUGCGUAGAUAUCGGGAGGAACACCCAUGGCGAAGGCAGCUUACUGGGCAUUUCCUGACGCUGAGGCGCGAAAGCGUGGGUAGCAAACAGGAUUAGAAACCCGUGUAGU